Non-coding RNA from Gossypium raimondii (Peruvian cotton), 145 nucleotides. NCBI's taxonomy places the organism in Eukaryota, Viridiplantae, Streptophyta, Magnoliopsida, Malvales, Malvaceae. The record is from Rfam.
UGUUAAAAAAUUUAUCCAUUUUUUCUGUUAAAACCCAGCAUUGCUAACUAAAUAACCAAACAGUCACAUGUGUUAUGUUACGCAUAUCUUGUUCUAAUAUACAAGGGCCAAUGUUUAACAGUAAAAAUGGAUUGAAUUUUUAACA